GCAGUCGAGGGGCAGCGGGGAGUGAGGCUUGCCUUACUUUGCCGGCGACCGGCGCACGGGUGAGUAACACGUAUGCAACCUACCCUUUACAGCGGGAUAACCGGAAGAAAUUUCGCCUAAUACCGCAUAUACUCCUUGGGAGGCAUCUUCCGAGGGGGGAAGAAUUUCGGUGAAGGAUGGGCAUGCGUCGCAUUAGUUAGUUGGCGGUGUAACGGACCACCAAGACGACGAUGCGUAGGGGUUCUGAGAGGAAGGUCCCCCACACUGGUACUGAGACACGGACCAGACUCCUACGGGAGGCAGCAGUGAGGAAUAUUGGUCAAUGGCCGAGAGGCUGAACCAGCCAAGUCGCGUGAGGGAAGAAUGUCCUAUGGAUUGUAAACCUCUUUUGUCAGGGAGCAAAGUCACCCACGUGUGGGUGUUGGAGAGUACCUGAAGAAAAAGCAUCGGCUAACUCCGUGCCAGCAGCCGCGGUAAUACGGAGGAUGCGAGCGUUAUCCGGAUUUAUUGGGUUUAAAGGGUGCGUAGGCGGGUUAUCAAGUCAGCGGUAAAAUCGUGGAGCUCAACUCCAUCCAGCCGUUGAAACUGAUGAUCUUGAGUGGGCGAGAAGUAUGCGGAAUGCGUGGUGUAGCGGUGAAAUGCAUAGAUAUCACGCAGAACUCCGAUUGCGAAGGCAGCAUACCGGCGCCCGACUGACGCUGAAGCACGAAAGCGUGGGUAUCGAACAGGAUUAGAUACCCUGGUAGUCCACGCAGUAAACGAUGAAUACUAAUUGUGUGCUCCGAAUGAGGAGUGCGUGAUACAGCGAAAGCGUUAAGUAUUCCACCUGGGGAGUACGCCGGCAACGGUGAAACUCAAAGGAAUUGACGGGGGCCCGCA
Molecule: ribosomal RNA, 879 nt
Filed under: uncultured bacterium
Lineage: Bacteria
Description: bacterial SSU rRNA
Rfam family: Bacterial small subunit ribosomal RNA
Source: RNAcentral